This is a long non-coding RNA of Salvia splendens (bonfire salvia), 1103 nucleotides long. RefSeq lists it as uncharacterized. The transcript is spliced from 2 exons. Lineage: Eukaryota; Viridiplantae; Streptophyta; Magnoliopsida; Lamiales; Lamiaceae. The record is from RefSeq and is a predicted model, not a curated record.
AGUCCAGGAGAUCAUAUAGAGUGACCAGGCAGACGCAUGAUCAAGGAGAAUCGAAGCGAAUUACCGCUAAUCGUCAAACUGACAUAGGAAAAUCAAGAAGAAGGCAGAAAGAGUGAAAAUGGGAUAAAAGAUCCUUUUGCAAGGGCACAACCGACAUUUCAAAGGAGGAUGCCCUGGGGAUCAGAGUCUCAAGCCUCACUAUAUAAAGGGAUGGAGAUUGAAGAAUGAGGCAGCUCUCCUUCUUAGCUCAAGUCUCUCGCGCUCAUUUUCACUUCAUAUUUCUUAAUGCCUACCAAACUUGUAAAGUGUCUUAUACUCUCUCCAUCUCAGUCUCAGUCUAAGUGACAAAUUUUUUUAUUUUUUGAGAUGUCCACUUUAAAUAUAAAAACAUCACUCUAUCUUACUUUAUUCACUUUACUGAAUUAUAAAAUAACACUAUAUAAAAUUCCGUGGUGAAUUAGAAAUACUCCACUUGUAGUAGGACGGAGAGAGUAAUAAGAAAUUGAAUAGUCUUUUCGCAAUGAUAUAAAAAUAGUCCGUAUCUGAUUUUUCGUAAACCACGACUUUUAGGGAUCUCAUAGUAAUAUAAAAUGAGUUUUUAAAAAUUGGAAUAAGUGGCAAUUAUUAUACAGCUGUCGGUUGUGGGUGUGAUUCAUCUGAAUUAACAAAUUAUCUCAUCUCUCUCUCUCUAUAUCUAUAUCUAAGUUAGAGAAGAGAGGGGAGAGGAGAAGUGAGAAAUUGAAAUCAUGUCGGGUAGAUGCGAACUCUUCUGUGCAAUCGUGCUCGCCAUCUUGAUCCCACCUCUCGGUGUUUGCCUCCGUCAUGGCUGCUGCACCACUGAGUUCUUCAUUUGCUUGCUUUUGACUAUAUUGGGAUAUAUUCCUGGAAUCAUCUACGCUCUCUACGCUAUUAUCUUCAUCGAUCAAGACCGAUUCCGUCGCGAUUACUAUCAGCAGCUUGAGUAGAUUGCUGUGUUUCUCCUGACAACGUGUUAUCAUGUCGAUGUUAUGUUUUGAGAUUUGAUUUUGUAAUUGCUCAUCUCUCUUCUAGAUCAUCUGUAUUACUGCUCUGCUGUUAAUGGAUGAAACUAGGGCUUUCUUUCC